GACGAACGCUGGCGGCGUGCUUAACACAUGCAAGUCGAACGGAAAGGCCCUGCUUUUGUGGGGUGCUCGAGUGGCGAACGGGUGAGUAACACGUGAGUAACCUGCCCUUGACUUUGGGAUAACUUCAGGAAACUGGGGCUAAUACCGGAUAGGAGCACCUGCUGCAUGGUGGGGGUUGGAAAGUUUCGGCGGUUGGGGAUGGACUCGCGGCUUAUCAGCUUGUUGGUGGGGUAGUGGCUUACCAAGGCUUUGACGGGUAGCCGGCCUGAGAGGGUGACCGGCCACAUUGGGACUGAGAUACGGCCCAGACUCCUACGGGAGGCAGCAGUGGGGAAUAUUGAAAAAUGGGCGGAAGCCUGAUGCAGCAACGCCGCGUGCGGGAUGACGGCCUUCGGGUUGUAAACCGCUUUCGCCUGUGACGAAGCGUGAGUGACGGUAAUGGGUAAAGAAGCACCGGCUAACUACGUG
This 468-nucleotide ribosomal RNA is filed under the name uncultured bacterium. RNAcentral's name for it is "partial 16S ribosomal RNA". It matches the Rfam family "Bacterial small subunit ribosomal RNA", at positions 28 to 507 of the family's 1533-position model. The record is from RNAcentral.